RNAcentral lists this small nuclear RNA (147 nucleotides) under Rhodnius prolixus. RNAcentral describes it as "U4 spliceosomal RNA". It matches the Rfam family "U4 spliceosomal RNA". From Rfam's summary of the family: U4 small nuclear RNA (U4 snRNA) is a component of the major U2-dependent spliceosome. The record is from Rfam by way of RNAcentral. Lineage: Eukaryota; Metazoa; Arthropoda; Insecta; Hemiptera; Reduviidae.
AACCUUGCGCAGUGGCAAUAUCCUAACCAAUGAAGGCCUCCUGAGGUGCGAUUAUUGCUAGUUGAAAACUAUUGUGGUACUGGGUUCGAUUUCCGGCCUCUAGGCCUUGGAUUUUGUUUAAUGGUUAAUAUGAGAAAUUUACAGUAA